Long non-coding RNA from Acanthochromis polyacanthus (spiny chromis), 1056 nucleotides. RefSeq lists it as uncharacterized. Lineage: Eukaryota; Metazoa; Chordata; Actinopteri; Pomacentridae. The record is from RefSeq and is a predicted model, not a curated record. The transcript is spliced from 3 exons.
UGAUGUAGAGAUCUGUUAAAUUCAUUUUAAAUCAUAUUCUGUUAAUGACAUUGUGCUGCAGCCUCAGACUGGGAUUAGUCAUUUGAAUUUCUUUUAGGAUUUCCCACUGUGAUUGGCUGCAUAGAUGCACACACAUCCCCAUCACAGCUCCCUCACAUCUUGAAUAGGAAGUCCAUUCACAGCAUAAAUGUGCAGAUCAUAUGUGAUGCUGCAUACAUCAUUUCUAAUGUGGAGGCCACGUGGUCUGGGUCUGUUCAUGACUCCAGGAUUUAUGGAGAGUCCAACCUGAGCAACAGACUGCAGCAUGGAGAGUUUGAUGGCCUUCUGCUGGGUGACAGGGGUUACCAUGCCAACCCAGGCUGAUGACCUCAUACCCUGACCCUGAACCAGGCCCCCAACAGAACUUCAACCGGACUCACUGCAGGACCAGAGCCCGGGUGGAGAUGACCAUAGGCCUGCUGAAAGCCCGUUUCCAGAGCCUUCGUCUCCUCAGGGUGACCCCUGAGAGGGCCUGUGAUAUUACUGUGGCAUGUGUUGUUCUUCAUAAUAUUACCACUAUUAGAGGAGAGCAACACCCUGCCCUACAAACUGAAGACCCAGAUGAUGACCCCAUCCACCUGCAGCUAUCCAGGACAGCAGAGCAGUCAGAGACACCGUAUGCAAUAAUCACUUUAGAGUUUAAGUCACCAUCAUCAUCACCACAGCAAAUAAAGACAUGAUACACAUUUCAUUUGGUCUUCUUUAUUUCCUACAAAUAAAGAGAUAGUUCAGUUCAUGUUCCAGUAGUUAACAUAAUUCACCUGUAACCAUCACCCUCCUCUAACUUGUGCUCCAGUAUUUCAAUUUCCAGAUCUGCCCUCCUAAUCUGUUUUUGGGAUUUUCUCAGCAAAUGCAGUUUGUAAAUCCGUUUUACUGAUAACUGAGAAUACAUAGAGGACAUUAAAUUAUACAGUUGCACAUGAAUUCCACAGAAUGAACCUCUGGUGUUUCCUGAACAUCCAUCUCACUGUGUCAGUCUGUGCAGUGGAAGCUGAGGAACCAUCCUGCUGCUGUCCA